This 443-nucleotide ribosomal RNA is filed under the name uncultured bacterium. RNAcentral's name for it is "bacterial SSU rRNA". It matches the Rfam family "Bacterial small subunit ribosomal RNA", at positions 30 to 506 of the family's 1533-position model. The record is from RNAcentral.
UUGAACGCUGGCGGCAUGCUUUACACAUGCAAGUCGAACGGCAGCGGGGGCUUCGGCCUGCCGGCGAGUGGCGCACGGGUGCGUAACGCGUGGGAAUCUGCCCUUAGGUACGGAAUAACUCAGGGAAACUUGUGCUAAUACCGUAUGAUGUCGAGAGACCAAAGAUUUAUCGCCUAGGGAUGAGCCCGCGUAGGAUUAGCUAGUUGGUGGGGUAAAAGCCUACCAAGGCGACGAUCCUUAGCUGGUCUGAGAGGAUGAUCAGCCACACUGGGACUGAGACACGGCCCAGACUCCUACGGGAGGCAGCAGUGGGGAAUAUUGGACAAUGGGCGAAAGCCUGAUCCAGCAAUGCCGCGUGAGUGAAGAAGGCCUUCGGGUUGGAAAGCUCUUUUACCCGGGAAGAUAAUGACUGUACCGGGAGAAUAAGCCCCGGCUAACUCCGU